AGCAGAUAGAUCUCGAGUCUGCAGUGUAGAGAUACUGGAGCGAGAGUGUAGGUGAUUGUUAGAGAACAACUAGCACUGAGUGUGACCAACAUGAGAAGUCACAUGAAUGUCUGCUCACUCUUAGUGACUUUCUCAAUGCUGCAGUUGUAUGACUGAUCUUUUAACCUGAGAUGAUACUACUACUCACAGUGAGACUGCUAG
This 201-nucleotide long non-coding RNA is filed under the name Elaeis guineensis (African oil palm). RNAcentral's name for it is "long non-coding RNA (EGUI_LNC080260)". Lineage: Eukaryota; Viridiplantae; Streptophyta; Magnoliopsida; Arecales; Arecaceae. The record is from RNAcentral.